Molecule: ribosomal RNA, 445 nt
Filed under: uncultured bacterium
Lineage: Bacteria
Description: partial 16S ribosomal RNA
Rfam family: Bacterial small subunit ribosomal RNA
Source: RNAcentral
CCUACGGGUGGCAGCAGUCGAGAAUCAUUCACAAUGGGGGAAACCCUGAUGGUGCGACGCCGCGUGGGGGAAUGAAGGUCUUCGGAUUGUAAACCCCUGUCAUGUGGGAGCAAAUUAAAAAGAUAGUACCACAAGAGGAAGAGACGGCUAACUCUGUGCCAGCAGCCGCGGUAUACAGAGGUCUCAAGCGUUGUUCGGAAUCACUGUGCGUAAAGUGUGCGUAGGCUGUAUCGUAGGUGGGGUGUGAAAGGCGCGGGCUCAACCAGCGGACGGCGCAUAAUACUGCGGGACUAGAGUAAUGGAGGGGGAACCGGAAUUCUCGGUGUAGCAGUGAAAUGCGUAGAUAUCGAGAGGAACACUCGUGGCGAAGGCGGGUUCCUGGACAUUAACUGACGCUGAGGCACGAAGGCCAGGGGAGCGAAAGGGAUUAGAUACCCCAGUAGUC